RNAcentral lists this ribosomal RNA (406 nucleotides) under uncultured bacterium. RNAcentral describes it as "partial 16S ribosomal RNA". It matches the Rfam family "Bacterial small subunit ribosomal RNA", at positions 29 to 526 of the family's 1533-position model. The record is from RNAcentral.
AUUGAACGCUGGCGGCAGGCCUAACACAUGCAAGUCGAACGAGUGGCGGACGGGUGAGUAAUGUCUGGGAAACUGCCUGCUGGAGGGGGAUAACUACUGGAAACGGUAGCUAAUACCGCAUACCAUCAGAUGUGCCCAGGUGGGAUUAGCUAGUUGGUGGGGUAACGGCUCACCAAGGCGACGAUCCCUAGCUGUUCUCAGAGGAUGACCAGCAACACGGGAACUGAGACACGGGCCAGACGCGUACGGGAGGCAGCAGAGGGGAAUAUUGGCAAAUGGGCGCAAGCCCGAUGCAGCCAUGCCGCGUGGAUGAAGAAGGCCUUCGGGUUGUAAAGUACUUUCAGAGGGGAGGCGUUACCCGCAGAAGAAGCACCGGCUAACUCCGUGCCAGAAGCCGCGGUAAUAC